RNAcentral lists this ribosomal RNA (253 nucleotides) under uncultured bacterium. Its description in RNAcentral is "partial 16S ribosomal RNA". It matches the Rfam family "Bacterial small subunit ribosomal RNA", at positions 524 to 776 of the family's 1533-position model. The record is from RNAcentral.
UACGUAGGGUGCAAGCAUUAAUCGGAAUUAUUGGGCGUAAAGGGCGUGUAGGCGGAUGCGUAAGUCAGAUGUGAAAUUCCGGGGCUCAACCUCGGAGCUGCAUUUGAAACUGUGUAUCUAGAGGGUUGACGGAGAAAACGGAAUUCCACGUGUAGCGGUGAAAUGCGUAGAUAUGUGGAAGAACACCAGUGGCGAAAGCGGUUUUCUAGUUAAUACCUGACGCUGAGGCGCGAGAGCAAGGGGAGCAAACAGG